GGUAACGUGGCCGAGUGGUCUAAGGCGCUGGAUUUAAGUAUCGGUUGCUUAUAACCGUGAAUCCCAGUGGGGAUAACCCGCGUGAGUUCGAACCUCACCGUUACCA
Moniliophthora roreri is the source of this 106-nucleotide non-coding RNA. The record is from Rfam. NCBI's taxonomy places the organism in Eukaryota, Fungi, Basidiomycota, Agaricomycetes, Agaricales, Marasmiaceae.